This 468-nucleotide ribosomal RNA is filed under the name uncultured bacterium. RNAcentral's name for it is "partial 16S ribosomal RNA". It matches the Rfam family "Bacterial small subunit ribosomal RNA", at positions 28 to 507 of the family's 1533-position model. The record is from RNAcentral.
GACGAACGCUGGCGGCGUGCUUAACACAUGCAAGUCGAACGGAAAGGCCCUGCUUUUGUGGGGUGCUCGAGUGGCGAACGGGUGAGUAACACGUGAGUAACCUGCCCUUGACUUUGGGAUAACUUCAGGAAACUGGGGCUAAUACCGGAUAGGAGCUCCUGCUGCAUGGUGGGGGUUGGAAAGUUUCGGCGGUUGGGGAUGGACUCGCGGCUUAUCAGCUUGUUGGUGGGGUAGUGGCUUACCAAGGCUUUGACGGGUAGCCGGCCUGAGAGGGUGACCGGCCACAUUGGGACUGAGAUACGGCCCAGACUCCUACGGGAGGCAGCAGUGGGGAAUAUUGCACAAUGGGCGGAAGCCUGAUGCAGCAACGCCGCGUGCGGGAUGACGGCCUUCGGGUUGCAAACCGCUUUCGCCUGUGACGAAGCGUGAGUGACGGUAAUGGGUAAAGAAGCACCGGCUAACUACGUG